UAACUACAAACGUGAACACAAAUGCACAUUGUGAACCCAAAGUGUUCACAAAGGAACACUUUGUGACUUUCAUGGACACCACGUUAAAUGGUGGUCCUUCCCACCAUGGACUUGGAUGUUAGACCAAUGUAACUACUCUCAAAACUAUAACCUCAACCAGGGAACUUGGUUCUGAUAGGUUCAGCAAGUUUUCCACCUCGAGGUCUCUCACGUGCUCUUUCUAGACUAUUACAUGUCAACUUCAAAUCCCCACCAAGCAUUAACAAUCUCUGCUGUGGUUGGCAUUACUGUGAGACAGGACUCACUGUGGACGAUUUUGAACAAGCUCAAAACAUUGUGAUUCGAGCAGUACAACAGGAUGUGUAUUCUGAAGAAAUCAGGUGUGAACAAAAACAUGAGAAGUUAGCCAAAAUCAGUUCUCUCAAGAACAUAGACCCUUAUCUGGAUGAGAAUGAACUCCUCAGAGUAGGUCACAUCACUGACUCAAACUUGACUCAUGGUGAAAAGAACCCACUUCUAGUUUCAGGAAGUGGUUAAUAACAAAGACGCAAGGUGAAAAUAUUUAGUUCUCUUCAUAAAGCACCACCACAGUCAGGUUCAUCAUCAAGGCCACUUGUUUACAGAAGGAGCAAUACGCUCUGCAGAAUGGUGGAUCGUGGAUGGCAAAAGAAAGGUGAGCACAAUCAUCUACAAUUGUGUAACCUGCAAAAGACUUCAUACUCCAAUGAGCACACACAAAAUGUCAAACCUUUUUCCAGAUCGUCUUGCAAUGGACCCUCCAUUCACCAAUGUAGGCUUAGAUGCGUUUGGCCCAUGGAUGGACACUACCAGAGGAAGUGUGAACCAAAACAAAAGGUGGGCUGUCAUUUUCACAUGCCUGAGUAUUAGAGCAGUUCACAUCCAGGCGAUAGACUCACUUGACACAUCCAGCUUUAUUAACGCAUUUAGACGGUUUCUGGCUAUAAGAGGACCUGUAAAACCUAUUUGUUCUGAUCGGGGUACCGAUUUUGUCAGUGCAUGUAAGAAACUGAAGAUCCCCUCAAACUUGGACAAGGAAGUUCUACAAACCUACUUAAAAGAAAAUGGAUGUACUUGGACUUAUAACCAGCCACAUGCUUCUCAUUUUGGUGGGUAGAGGGAAAAAAUGAUAGGCCUGUCCUGGAAAAUAUUGGACUCUAUGUUUUUCAAACUCAAGACCACAAACUUGUCACCUUCAUGGCAGAGGUGGCAGCUAUUAUAAAUGCUAGACGUCUUGUCCCAGUUUCUUCAGACUUAAGAGACGCUUUCAUCUUGACCCUACCUACUCUUCUAACCCAGAAGAUUGUACCUCUUAAGGCUCCAACUGGUAACUUCACUGCAUCAGACAUUUACAGACACCAGUGGCGUCAGGUGCAGCACCUGUCAAACAUCUUCUGGGACAAAUGGAAGAAAAAGUUCCUUUCUACUCUCCAGUUACGUCGCAAGUGGCAAUCGAGCCAUCCAAAUUGUGAGUAUAGGAAAUGUCGUCGUACUCAAAGACAGUCAAGUACCAAGAAAUGAAUGGCCUCUUGGACUCAUAACUCAGGUGUUUCCAAGUAAAGAUGAUAAAAUACAUAAACUAGAAGUUAAGGUAGCCAAAGCAGAUGGCUCAAAGUUGUUUGUAAGACCUAUCUCAGAAAUAGUCGUUUUGGUUCCUUCAUAAGAUACAUUGAUUCUGCUAAACACUUAGUUUGCGGCUUUUAUUCACGCCAGAUGGGGAGUGUUCUGUUACGAAGUUGUAUGUAUUAUGUUUACAGUAAUUAAGUUCAUUUAUGUAAGUCAAAAAGGGGGAAAGCCUGCCCUCAUCUGUUCUUUUCAGGAAUUACAAUCUAGCAAUCUUUUGUUGUUUUGAAAUAAACUUUAUUGAACAGCGGUAGCAUUCAAGGAAAUUACUUAAUGUUGUGUUGUUGGUAGCUUAGAUCUACACAUAUAGACGUUUGGCAGAAACUCAGUGAGGUCCAGUCGAGUGAAUCUGCAGACAUCUUUCGUUUAUGGUCACAUUGCUGAUAUGUUUUGUGAAAAUAAUCAUGUAGGAUUGUUUCUGUGCUAGAUGUAGCUUCCUAAUGGGCUAUUUCACUGUGAAUAUGUUUUCUUUCUUGUGUAAUUUAGGGUAAUUGGGAAAUUACUUAAUGUGAUGUUGGUAGCCUAGAUCUACACAUAUAGAUGUUCUGCAGAAACUCAGUGUAAAAGUGUAAUUUAUUCUGCACAUACUCAUAUAUUUACUGUAUCUUUUGUCUUGUUUUCAGUUUCACCCUUUUGAUUGUCAAUAAAUCUGCUGACAACGGUCUUCGGUCUUCAGAGUUUUGAUAUGAGAAAGGUGUUAGCUAGCCUUUGCAUCAGUAACGGCACACUAACAGUAGGCUGAAUAAAUGACAGUGAAUGAAUGAAUGGGGAUGAGAUUUGUAUUUAUCUGUGAGAACAGUCACGGAAGAGGCAUAAUUUGGAGAUCAGAUCGCACAUGCGUUGAUACUGCAGUGAAGUUAGUUUCAAGUUGUAUAUUGGAUAUUUGCACUCCGCAAAGUAAGCGGCGUUUAGCUCAAGGUUGAUCUGCUUUAUGAACGAAAGAAAAAUUGUAUGUGUGUGUGAUAUUUUAAUAGUGUAUAUGCGCAAUCUUAGUCUUUGGUGUGCGUGUGAGAAAGAAAAAUUGUAUGCCUGUGUGACAAUUUAAUAGUGUAUAUGCGCAAUUUUGUGUGUGUAUGAGUCUUUAGUAGUAUGUGAGACAAAACAGUUUUUGUCCUAAAUGGCCCCUCAUAAUAAACAGUGCAAAACAUAUAUAAACUAACUUACAUUGGUUUCAAAAAUAGUUAUUUAAAAAAUUUUAUUGUGAUUUCUAUGAUUGCUAUAACAGUCAUUGAACUUCGUGUUAUAACGGUAUGGAGGCUGUUUGUUGCGACUUAAUAUAAUUUUCUUCAUAAACUGGUUUUAAUUAAGCUCAGUUUGCCAACGAGACUUUGAUAUCGUGAGGCUGCUGUUAUAAAUCGUUCAUCAUUGUUUUUAUCUUCAACAUAUUUUUGCAGUCUAAGCAAAUGAAGAUGAAAGAGGGAGCCAGGGAUCAGGUAUUAGAAAAACUAAAGACUUUCCUGUCUUAGAAGAGGCCCUGGCUCCACCAGAUCACCAACCAGUUCUGAGGAUGAACCUCCACAUCGUCUACAUGGUGGAAGGCUUUUUAUUUUUUACUGAGCAGCUGGCUACAUUUUUAACAACAGCUAAAACUGCUUUCAGAGUCUGAGAUGGACUGGUGACCUGUCCAGGGUGAACCCCACCUCUUGUCUGAUGACUGCUGGAGAUAGGCACCACCAGCCCCCCUCACCACCCUGCAAGGAUCAGUGUGUUCAGAUCAUGGAUGGAAAGAUUUUAAGCAAAGAAGACACCUGGAAAUGUUUUUCCACCCCAGGCAUCCGGUCCCAAUAAUCAUCAGUUCUGAUGAUGUCACAUUCAUAUCAAGUCCACAACUUCUUAAAAUUGUUUCUGUAAACUGCAGUGAAUGGGAAUGUUCUGUCAUUGUUCCUCAUUGUUCUUGGAAGGAGAAAUGUCAGUUUAUCUGGAGUAAUACUGCAAUACUGUGACACUGAAUUAAAACAAUACUGUCCUUGUCACAUUUUCUCUAAAGUGUACCUGUUGUAUUGUUGUGUUUAUUGUGCUAUUUUACAUAAGCAUGUUGUCUGUAAACUUUUAAUUUAUUGACAAUUUGUCAAUAAAUAAAUAAAUAAUUCUGUGAUACU
Molecule: long non-coding RNA, 3740 nt
Organism: Xiphophorus couchianus (Monterrey platyfish)
Lineage: Eukaryota; Metazoa; Chordata; Actinopteri; Cyprinodontiformes; Poeciliidae
Exons: 4
Source: RefSeq, a predicted model, not a curated record